Molecule: small RNA, 28 nt
Filed under: Bombyx mori (domestic silkworm)
Lineage: Eukaryota; Metazoa; Arthropoda; Insecta; Lepidoptera; Bombycidae
Description: piRNA piR-bmo-1819220
Source: RNAcentral
UCAAUGAACAAUAGCCAUGACUGCCUGA